CUUUGAUAUUGUGGAAGGGUGAGAUAAUGACAUGACUGUAACACAAAUCCAUAUUGAAGAGCCCAGUGUUUAAAAUUCCCUGGGUUCACACACCGGAGGUUUACUUGUGAGCUGAUGAUACUUGUGAGCUGAUGGCACAUCACAGAUAAUCAUCAAAUAUGGUUAUCAACUUAGUAUCUGGACAAAGAAUGAAAACAGGAAAUAACAUUCUAUUACUAACUCCUAGUUGUUGAAUAUAGGAAACACUUAAAACAUAUCAAGCACCCUUAGUAAUCUUUUCAAUAAAGUAUAUACAACUCAGUGGAGCACCCUCCACAGAGUCCUUUCUAGUCAGAUGAAAAGGUCAUUUAUCUUCUUUUAACAAAUAAGACUUUGGAAAAUUCAAGGCAAGUAGGCCAGAUUAUAGCAUGAUGCUCUGAAGACAGGGAAUGGUGCUCCUCCUGUUUUUUUCUGCUCUCAGACCACCUUCUCAUCCCCUUUGCUUUUCAACAACAAAGCCCCAGCAUGGUGAGUUGGAGGUUGAUGAAAAUAUGUCCAGGAGCCGUAACUGCCACUGUUAAACCUGAAUACUUCCUUUAUAAAAGAUAUCUAAGGUGUCAUUCCAGACCCGUCAUUUAUUUUUUUUUUUAAUGUACUGAUGAAU
RNAcentral lists this long non-coding RNA (643 nucleotides) under Bos taurus (domestic cattle). Its description in RNAcentral is "long non-coding RNA NONBTAT025316". The record is from RNAcentral. Lineage: Eukaryota; Metazoa; Chordata; Mammalia; Artiodactyla; Bovidae.